Long non-coding RNA from Balaenoptera acutorostrata (minke whale), 1042 nucleotides. RefSeq lists it as uncharacterized. The record is from RefSeq and is a predicted model, not a curated record. The transcript has 5 exons. Lineage: Eukaryota; Metazoa; Chordata; Mammalia; Artiodactyla; Balaenopteridae.
CCCAGGGCGCUCCCUGAUCAGUUUCCUCUGUAGUUCACUCCCUUCUGACGCUGGCUUCAGGCCGCGGCCCUGGGAGGAUGGGCCUGUGUGUGUGUGUGUGUUUCCCCUGAUCCCAAAAGCACAGGGUGUGAAGCUUCCUGGCAGCAACAGGCUGAUUUGGCUCCUCGGAGACAGGACGGAAACCUCCAGCCGCGAUGACCCGGUCCAGGUCCCCGCAAGCACGGGUCCUGCCUUUCACGUGGCCGGAAGCCAUGCCCUGCGUCUGGUGCCGGAGUUGGAGGAGGUGGAGAAAAUGAAGCCCCCGCUGGGCUGCGCUCAGUCUGGAGCAGAUGACCACCCCCUCAGAAGAGGCUGGAAAGAGGUUCUCUGUAAAACUUCCGGAGUGUCUGGAUGAAGGUGGAGGAUGAAGUCAAGGGGUCAGAGUCCAUCCUAAGAGAUGAGGCGAGAGAAGCAGAUGGUUGGAGUGAUGUAGCCGUGAGCCAAGGAAUGCAGGCAGCCUCCAGAAGCUGAAAAGGACACGGGAAGGAUUCUCCCGAUAGCACCCAGAAGGACUGCAGCCCUGCCGACACCUUGACUGUAGACUUCUGACGUCCAGAACUAUGAGUGUUAGGAGGAAGCAGAACCAACGUGUGAUUUGGCAAGACUUAGGAGGGAGCCAAAGACAGAGGGUGAAGGAGGACCCACAAUAGAACCACUGUUGCCCGUGUCUACCCACCCAUCCACUGGCCGUUCACCCAACGCCCAAUCACUGCCAGGCGCCGUGCCACUCUGGGCACAUCUGCCUAUCAAGAGGUGGUAAAACCAACAGGAUUUUCUAAGGAUUGGGUAGAAUGAAAGAAGAGCCGAAGUUGACCCCAAGGCUUCGUCCUGAGCACCUGCAGGAUCUUAGUUCCCUGACCAGGGAUGGAACCUGGGCCCCCAGCAGUGAAAGCACGGAGUCCUAACCACUGGAUCACCAGGGAAGUCCCCACAAUAGCUUUAAGAUAAGAUAGACCUGAAUUUGACUCCCAGAUGUGCUACUUCCUAGCCCUUUGACCCAGAU